GCUUUUCUCCCCCGGCCGCCGGCCCCGCGCAGCUCUCCCUGUGCCCGCGGCUCCCACUCCCCGGGCAGCGCGGAGCAGCGCGGGGCCGCCAGGGCUGCGCGCACCCGGGGCGAAGAGCGCGGCUCCCGCCGCCGCCGCGGGCGCGCAGAGGGGCUGUGGGCGCGCAGCCCCCGGCCCGGCUCCGCGCGGCGCUGCCCGAACCCCGCGGCGGCGGUACGCGGAAGAAGGGAGAGGAAGGACCUACUUUUGGGCAGUUUUCUCGCCCUCGCCUUGGAUCUCAUCGUGUCGGCUUGCGGAUUCCUCUCCUCCUCCUUGAGCCCAGAAGCAGCUACACACUAUCUUCAUCUCCCAAGCAUUGUCAGUUUGGACACCUUCGCACAUGCGCACAGAGCAUUCAAUCUGACACCCUCACCAGGGCCAAAAAAACUUUCCAAUCGCAGCCUUCCCCCGAUCUGCCCCUUUAAGACAGACGCGCAGCGCUCCGACCCCUCCGCGCAGUGCCCCUCGGAGCGGACAGUGCCCGCGGACCCGGGUGCCAUCCCCGAACGAGGUGAUUAUCGCUGUUAUUACUGCUAUUCUUACUAUUACUUAAUAGCAAUGCCGUCGAGAGUUUGUUCCCGGGUGUCUCUUUGGAAUUCGUGCGCGUUUUAAACGCGCUUUUCUUUCUAAUCCGAAAAAAAAAAAAUAGCUUUAUAUAAUAACGAUUAUUUACAGCAACUUCUCAACGAGUUUCUUUCUUUUCUCCCUUUUUACCCUUUUCCUCCUCUUGCCCCCUUCGGCGCGGGGGGGUCCCUGACUCCUAACAACACCAACUUACGCUCCGUGCCGCACCGGCGCGUCUCCCUUUUGUACGGGGAUAUUUAUUUUAACUCCCGGCGACUCAGAGCUCAGCGGUAAAGCUCUUCCUACCCCAAUUUAUUCACCCGUUUGGACGCGUUUUGACCGGAAAUAUAUAUAUAUAUAUAUAUAUAAAAUAAAACGAAGCGAACCCCGCGGUGCGGCUGCCUGUGCCCCGGGGUCGCCCGGGCCCAACCGAGCCGGGCUGGGCCGAACCGGGCCGGGCCGCCCGGGGACAGCGGGUGCCGGUGCCGCUUUCUUCUGCGUUCCAGGUGCCGCUGGGAGCGCUCCCGAGGGAACGGCCGCUGCCUCGCCGGAGGAAGCCGAGAGACCCACGGACAGCCGAGAACAGGGGGAAUGACCGGGAAGCACGAGGACAGAAAAACGCGUUCUGUGCAUCAGCCGCGCUGCUUUGCGCUCUCACACCCUCUCUAUUUAUCUGCACGCAAAAGCCGCGCAGCGCAGCGCUCUCCUGCCCCACUGACACCUCUCCCUGCACCGAAACACGCUCAACAGACGUUGCCCUUCUUAUUUCUAGCACGAAGCUCCGGUUCUCCCAGCCCUGAGAACACCCGGUAUAAAUCGCCCCUUUCGGAUUUUCCCCCCAAACCGUUCCCAGUCCCAGGAAUUCCUCCGAAUUCGUUACGCUGCGCGAGGCCGCGCUUUGCAGGGCCGGGAAAGGUAACGUCGCCCGUCCGACAACAACGAGUUUCGAAAAGAAAAGCGACGUUCACGUGUGAAUAUCGAACUUCAACCGUAUUGUCAUUACCGCCGUAAAAGAAACGCAGCAGCUCGCUUUAUUCCAGGAGAGCGCGGCCAUUAAAGAGAACUUAAGGAGUC
Molecule: RNA transcript, 1677 nt
Organism: Gallus gallus (chicken)
Lineage: Eukaryota; Metazoa; Chordata; Aves; Galliformes; Phasianidae
Exons: 3
Source: RefSeq, a predicted model, not a curated record